Molecule: ribosomal RNA, 631 nt
Filed under: Globigerinoides elongatus
Lineage: Eukaryota; Foraminifera; Rotaliida; Globigerinidae
Description: partial small subunit ribosomal RNA
Rfam family: Eukaryotic small subunit ribosomal RNA (bases 1-364)
Source: RNAcentral
AGUUCGUGGAGUGAUCUGUCUGCUUAAUUGCGUUUCAAAAUUUAAACCUGAGCGACAAGGUGCUGCUAUCGAAACUGUCUUUGAGUGUGAACUAUAAGUCUUUUGACUUAUGACCAUCACUCUAGACGUUUAUGUUUUGGUGUUGGCCCUUGAUGCUCAUUUGAACGCAACGGACGUGAUUGCAACCCCUUGUUGAGAUUUAUCCGAUCUCUACGUUCACUGAACCACACUCUUUAGCGAGAGCAGUGGGGAUGUGGAUAAACUCGGGGGACUGCUGACUAUAAACUUUUCUCAAACCAGAGGAAGGUUGCGGCAAUAACAGGUCUGUGAUGCCCUCAGAUGUUCCGGGCUGCACACGUGCUACAUUUAGUAGCGCAGUGUGCACAUUAAUAGAGUGAUAGGUUCCGUGGUUUGUACAUUUUAAGGGCUCGUCCUAGUAACCAAAGCUCCACGGGACAUAUCAACCUUCCCCUUACAGGGCGGGUAACCUCUUCGAAGUGCUGGCAUGAUUUCCCUAGUUUUGGCAUUUGAAUCCUUGUCGCAGCAGCCCUGAGACGUAGUGAACGCUGCAAAGUGAUUCCAGUCUUAGGUUUGCGACACAUGCAAUUCCUGGUUGACUCAUCGUGGGGAC